AAGCAGAUGAAGCCAAACGGAGCGAGGCUGAAGCCAAGGCAAUGACCGACGAAUACGGCGCGUUCACGCAAUCCAUUAUCCAGAGCGGGAACUUCAAGGGCGGUGACCGGCUUCACCCGACGUCGAUGGCGACCACNNNACGCCAAGCCCCUGACCACCGAUGGCCCGUUUGCGGAAACCCACGAGCAGCUCGGCGGAUACUACAUCGUCGACGCGAAGGAUAUCGAUGCAGCGCUGGCGA
This 241-nucleotide unclassified non-coding RNA is filed under the name Hevea brasiliensis (rubber tree). The record is from RNAcentral. Lineage: Eukaryota; Viridiplantae; Streptophyta; Magnoliopsida; Malpighiales; Euphorbiaceae.